GAGGGGUUGGCUCAGUGGUUAAGAGUACCUGCCGUUCUUGCAGAAGACCUGGGUUCGAUUCCCAGUACCCACA
This 73-nucleotide transfer RNA is filed under the name Cricetulus griseus (Chinese hamster). It matches the Rfam family "tRNA". From Rfam's summary of the family: Transfer RNA (tRNA) molecules are approximately 80 nucleotides in length. Lineage: Eukaryota; Metazoa; Chordata; Mammalia; Rodentia; Cricetidae. The record is from Rfam by way of RNAcentral.